Molecule: ribosomal RNA, 403 nt
Filed under: uncultured bacterium
Lineage: Bacteria
Description: partial 16S ribosomal RNA
Rfam family: Bacterial small subunit ribosomal RNA
Source: RNAcentral
GUCGAACGCUGGCGGCGUGCCUAAUACAUGCAAGUCGAACGCAGUUGGGACGGGUGAGUAACACGUGGGUAACCUCCCAUCAGAGGGGAUAACACUUGGAAACAGGUGCUAAACCGAUACUGUUGGCUGGUCCUGCGGUGCAUUAGCUAGCUGGUGAGGUAACGGCUCACCAAGGCCACGAUGCAUAGCCGGCCUGAGAGGAUGAUCGGCCACACUGGGACUGAGACACGGCCCAGACUCCUACGGGAGGCAGCAGUGGGGAAUCUUCUGCAAUGGACGAAAGUCUGACCGAGCAACGCCGCGUGAAUGAAGAAGGUUUUCGGGUCGUAAAGCUCUGUUGUUAGAGAAGCGGUAUCUAACGAAAAAGCCACGGCUAACUACGUGCCAGCAGCCGCGGUAAUAC